This 480-nucleotide ribosomal RNA is filed under the name Brevibacterium aureum. RNAcentral's name for it is "bacterial SSU rRNA". It matches the Rfam family "Bacterial small subunit ribosomal RNA", at positions 279 to 771 of the family's 1533-position model. Lineage: Bacteria; Bacillati; Actinomycetota; Actinomycetes; Micrococcales; Brevibacteriaceae. The record is from RNAcentral.
ACGGGUAGCCGGCCUGAGAGGGCGACCGGCCACACUGGGACUGAGACACGGCCCAGACUCCUACGGGAGGCAGCAGUGGGGAAUAUUGCACAAUGGGGGAAACCCUGAUGCAGCGACGCAGCGUGCGGGAUGACGGCCUUCGGGUUGUAAACCGCUUUCAGCAGGGAAGAAGCGAAAGUGACGGUACCUGCAGAAGAAGUACCGGCUAACUACGUGCCAGCAGCCGCGGUAAUACGUAGGGUACGAGCGUUGUCCGGAAUUAUUGGGCGUAAAGAGCUCGUAGGUGGUUGGUCACGUCUGCUGUGGAAACGCAACGCUUAACGUUGCGCGGGCAGUGGGUACGGGCUGACUAGAGUGCAGUAGGGGAGUCUGGAAUUCCUGGUGUAGCGGUGAAAUGCGCAGAUAUCAGGAGGAACACCGGUGGCGAAGGCGGGACUCUGGGCUGUAACUGACACUGAGGAGCGAAAGCAUGGGGAGCGA